GACGAACGCUGGCGGCGUGCUUAACACAUGCAAGUCGAACGGAAAGGCCCUGCUUUUGUGGGGUGCUCGAGUGGCGCACGGGUGAGUAACACGCGAGUAACCUGCCCUUGACUUUGGGAGAACUUCAGGAAACUGGGGAUAAUACCGGAUAGGAGCUCCUGCUGCAUGGUGGGGGUUGGAAAGAUUCGGCGGUUGGGGAUGGACUCGCGGCUUAUCCGCUUGUUGGUGGGGUAGUGGCUUACGAAGGCUUCGACGGGUAGCCGGCCUGGGAGGGUGACCGGCGACCAUGGGACUAAGAGACGGCGCAGUCGGGUACGGUAGGCAGCAGGCGAGAGCAUGGCACAAUGGGCGGGAGUGUGUGGCAGCAGUCCUCGGUGCGGAAUAACCGCCUUCGGGUGGAGAACAGCUUUCGCCGGAGACGAAGCGGGCGUGACGGUAAUUGGUAAGAAAGCACCGGCUAACUACGUG
RNAcentral lists this ribosomal RNA (468 nucleotides) under uncultured bacterium. RNAcentral's name for it is "partial 16S ribosomal RNA". It matches the Rfam family "Bacterial small subunit ribosomal RNA", at positions 28 to 507 of the family's 1533-position model. The record is from RNAcentral.